GACGAACGCUGGCGGCGUGCCUAAUACAUGCAAGUCGAACGGAAAGGCCUCUUUCGGGGGGUACUCGAGUGGCGAACGGGUGAGUAAAACGCGAGUAAACUGCCCUUGUCAUUGGGAGAACUUCAGGAAACAGGGGCUAAUACAGGAUAGGAGAUCCUGCAGCACGGUGGGGGUUGGUAAGAUUCGGCGGUUGGGGAUGGACUCGCGGCUUAUCAGCUUGUUGGUGGGGUAGUGGCUUACCAAGGCUUUGACGGGUAGCCGACCUGAGAGGGUGACCGGCGACAUUGGGACUGAGAUACGGCGCAGACGCGUACGGGAGGCAGCAGUGGGGAAUAUUACACAGUGAGUGGGAGCCUGAGGCGGCGGCGCCGGGGGCGGGAUGACGGGUUUCGAGUUGAGAACCGCUUUCGCUCAUGACGAAGCUUUGUGUGACGGUAGUGGGUAAAGAAGCACCGGCUAACUACGUG
This 467-nucleotide ribosomal RNA is filed under the name uncultured bacterium. RNAcentral describes it as "partial 16S ribosomal RNA". It matches the Rfam family "Bacterial small subunit ribosomal RNA", at positions 28 to 507 of the family's 1533-position model. The record is from RNAcentral.